CGUGGGUAACCUGCCCAAGAGAUCGGGAUAACACCUGGAAACAGAUGCUAAUACCGGAUAACAACAGAUGAUGCCUAUCAACUGUUUAAAAGAUGGUUCUGCUAUCACUCUUGGAUGGACCUGCGGUGCAUUAGCUAAUUGGUAGGGUAACGGCCUACCAAGGCGAUGAUGCAUAGCCGAGUUGAGAGACUGAUCGGCCACAUUGGGACUGAGACACGGCCCAAACUCCUACGGGAGGCAGCAGGC
This 246-nucleotide ribosomal RNA is filed under the name uncultured Lactobacillus sp. Its description in RNAcentral is "partial 16S ribosomal RNA". It matches the Rfam family "Bacterial small subunit ribosomal RNA", at positions 116 to 354 of the family's 1533-position model. The record is from RNAcentral. Lineage: Bacteria; Bacillati; Bacillota; Bacilli; Lactobacillales; Lactobacillaceae.